CCUGAUACCCAUAGCAAGGUGGUACCACUCCUUCCCAUCCCGAACAGGACAGUGAAACGCCUUCGCGCCGAUGAUAGUGG
This 80-nucleotide ribosomal RNA is filed under the name Achromobacter xylosoxidans. Lineage: Bacteria; Pseudomonadati; Pseudomonadota; Betaproteobacteria; Burkholderiales; Alcaligenaceae. The record is from RNAcentral.